Molecule: unclassified non-coding RNA, 177 nt
Filed under: uncultured Sordariales
Lineage: Eukaryota; Fungi; Ascomycota; Sordariomycetes; Sordariales
Description: sequence contains ITS2
Source: RNAcentral
CGACCCUCAGGCUCCGGCCUGGUGUUGGGGCACCCCCGCGGCGCACGCCGCGCGGGCCCCGAAAGCCAUCGGCGGUGCCUGCCAGCACUCCGGGCGCAGUAGUCACAUCUCGCCCAGGACGUCUGGCGGCGCUCCGGCCGCUAAAAACGCCGCGCCCCAGGGCGCGACACACCAAAA